CCUUUCCUACUCCAUUUCUCUUUCUUCUUUCACUAUAAUCACCACCACCACCUAAUCCGCCGGAUCUACAACCACCGUCGGUGACCACCACGCAGGAUCUACCGCCACCACCACUUGUCUACCUCCACCGGAUCUACAACCACCUCAAUGGUGAUGUGAUGAAGCAUUCUGCCGCCACCACUUGUCUACCUCUCGAAAACAUUCAUUUCAAUCAUCUUCCAAUAAACUCCGGCGACAGCGAUGCCAAUGGCGAUGAAGCAUUCUGCCACCACUGCUACUCGUGUUAUUUCCUCUGCUACUUCCGCCUCCAUCCUAACCAGAGACUUUCAUUUGUGCUGGAUGAGUUGUCAAAGUCCAUACAGGAACCGAUUCCUUGGUGCAUAUGCUUUUUGCAGAUGAUAUUGUGUUAGUUGCGGAGACUAAACAACGACUGAACUAGAGGUUAGAAGAGUGGCGAGUUGCUUUAGAAGGAAAAGGUUUAAGAAUUAGUCGUUCAAAGACCGAGUACCUUCACUGUGAGUUUAAUGGAACAGUCGACAGGGAAGAUACUCAAAUCACCAUUGAUAGUCAAGCGGUGCCACAGGUUACCAGGUUUAAAUAUUAAGGAUCGUAUGUACAAAAGGAUGGGGAGAUAGAUAGUGAUGUUGCCCAUCGUAUCCAAGCUGGCUGGUGUAGGUGGAGAGCAGUUGCUAGGGUAUUGUAUGACAGGAUGUUCCCAACUAAAUUAAAAGGAAAAUUUUAUAAGGUUGUGGUUAGACAUGCUAUAUUAUAUGGAACAGAUUGUUGGGCUAUUAAAAAGACGUAGACACGCAAGAUGGAGGUGAGAGAAAUGAGGAUGUUAGGGUGGAUGUGCGGGCAUACAAGGCUAGAGCGUAUGAGAAAUAAGUUUUUAGGGAAAGGCUAGGGGUGGCUAGUAUAUCGAGUAAGAUUAAGGAGGGGAGAUUGAGAUGGUUUGGGCACGUGAAGAGGAGGCCGGUGACGGCACCGGUUAGAGUAGUGGACGCCCUUUGUGUGGAGGGUAGGAGGAGUAGAGGAAGACCCAAACUGACUCGGGAGGAACAGAUUAGGCAAGAUUUGCUAGAGUUGCACCUUUCCGAGUACAUGGUCCAGGAUAGGAGUUCGUGGAGACGUAGGAUUAAGGUUAAGGAUUUUUAGGAGAGAGUAAUGAGCUGUCUGAGAUUUUUGGUUAGGGGUUAAUAUUUCAUACUUUUCAGGUGGACUUUACAUGUGUUUAUCAUCUUGUGUGUGUGUGUGUGUAUAUGUAUAUGUAUAUAUAUAUAUAUAUAUAUUGCUUUAGGGGCUAUAACUGUGGCUAUUCUACUAUGUUAGUCGGUUACCACUUAUUCUGUGAUUGGUGGAUUCUUAUUGCUAUAUCUGUAGUUCGCAUUGUUUGCUUGAUGUUUGGUUUUGAGCCGGGUGUCUUUUUGGAAGCAGCCUCUUUAUCCGUAUGGAUAGAGGUAAGGUUUGUCUAUAUCCAGUGGCGGAUCUAGAAGUAAAAUUCAGGGGUAUCCUAGAAAUUUUUUUAGCGUGCAUUUAUAAAAGAAAUCAAUUUUUUAAUCGUACAUUUAGUGGUGGAUGAUAGAUUUUAUUUGUAUGAAGUCACUGGUUUUAAAUGCUUUAAUUCAUACAAGCGAGCGAACAUAAAAAUUUCUGGCUCGGUUCAGGUCAGGUCCUAACCUAAGUUUUUUAUCUACUAAUAUGUACUAAUAUAUCAUCAAGAACAUUAAUUUAGUUUAUUUGUUUUUUAAGUACUAAAUAAUAUCGACAAUAAAACAUUUUUAUACAACGAAAAGUGUCACCUCAUAUUUACAUAAUUUAAAAAAUAGAUUACUUAUGAAUAGUAAGCUCUAGAAAAAAUAAAAGAUUUAAUAAACUAACAGAUAGUUAGACAAUUAAAUAAUAAAUAAUAUGUUUGAUUAAUAAACUAAUGACAGUAAAUUAAUUAAAUAUAAAUGAUAUUUUGAUUAAAUAUUAUGGGAAAAGUUCCGGUAUAGACAGUCUUAUUGUACAAAACAUACAAAAGGCAUGAAAAAGUUAAAAAAAAAAAACGCGGUGACAUAUUUGUAAUUAUUUAUUCAUAGGGUAAUUAUCAAAAUUACUCUACUAGUUUAUCAAACAACAUACAAUUCAAAAUUACCCUACAAGAUCAUUUGUAGAGUAGUUAUGAUACUUUAUAAAAUUACCCUACAAGAUCAAAAUUACCCUACAAAAUCAUUUUACAAAAUUACAAUACAUUAUCAAAAUUACCCUACAAGAUCAUUUGCAGGGUAAUUUUAAUAAUUAUUCUACGAGUAAAUAAUUACAAAAAUGUCAUCACGUUUUUUCAGCAAAACCUUCAGUUCAUACGUUUUAUGCGUUAAAAGUAUUUCUAUUUGAUGUUUUGCCUAAAUACUAUACCUUUCGAAAAGGGUUAAAUACUAUACGAAUAAUAGAAUUAUCAUAUCCAACUUAUGAAAUUUAAAUAUAUUAUGUAAUAUAAUAACAAUAGAGCCCACGUGUAGCAGUAACUUUACAGUUUUCAAGAGAAGAAAAGGUUUCAUUAAUUAAGGGUCUUAUCUUUUGUUUUUAAAAAACAAUAAAACAUACUCUUCUUCUUCUCCAUUUAGUCUCUGCAACUCCGGCCGUCUCAUCUUCUUCAAAAUAUUUUAUUUUUCUUAUCCAUCUCUCCAAUAACUCAGGGGUAUCCAGUAUUACAUUUAGGGGUAUCCAAAUACAUAAAACCGAGAAACAAUAUUUUUUUUACAUUUCGCAAAAAAAGUUGAGGGGUAUCCCGGGCAACCCCUGACCAUUAUGUAGAUCCGCCCAUGUCUACAUCUCACCCUCCUCAGAUCUCACCAAUAACUUUGCUAUUUGUGAGACUUACUAGAUAUUGUUAUUGUUGUUGUGUUCUUUUUAAAAAAAAAAAAAAAAGUUUUAUGUUUUCUUUAUUUAGUUGUGUUCUCUAUGUUUUGUUUUAUAAAAUUUAUGUUUUUAAUUUUUAUUGAUUAUUAUAUUUAGUUAAAAAAAACUCAUUAAAGUCGCCCGCUCACCUAAAACACACAGGGUGAUAAAGCUUGAGCAGUGACUUUAUCAGAUGUACAGUCAACGUCCAAUAAACACCAAAUAAAGCAAUAUUACAUGAUGAAUUCGGUAUCCUCACUUUGAUUCGCAAGGCCACAAGUUAUAGUAUAACUGAUUAAAUUCUUGAAAAACUCAAAUUCAUUCCAAAUACAACCCAAUCUGAAUUUAAUUGAUAAAAUUCUUGGAAAACUCAAAGUCAGUCCAAAUACAACCCAAUCUGAGCAUCGUCAUUUAUUUUCCAUACCUAUAUAUAGUAUAGUGCUCUUCAAUUGUUGGCACUUAUAACUACCAAGACCAGAAAAAAAAAAAUGCCACCAGGACCACCAAAUUAUUGUUUCAGAAUCCAACCCAUAAUCUUUAUAAGGG
Molecule: long non-coding RNA, 3426 nt
Organism: Helianthus annuus (common sunflower)
Lineage: Eukaryota; Viridiplantae; Streptophyta; Magnoliopsida; Asterales; Asteraceae
Exons: 2
Source: RefSeq, a predicted model, not a curated record